CGGCUGUUUCCGUUGCCUGGCAAAAAAAAUGAAAAAAGGGACAGGGCAAAUCCUGACAGUCACGCAGAGGUACGGAAGAGGAUUAGGGCCACUCAUAAAAAAAUAAAUAAUAAUCUGACUUUAUUCUCAGAAUUCUGAGUGAAAACCCAGAAAAAAAAAUCGGAAUUCUGACUUUAAAGUCAGAAAUACAGGUACCUGUAAGGACCAACCUUUAUGGACACUUUGCUUUAUGCAGAAGGAGGAAGAAGAAGAAGCCACUUCGUCAAUGGAAGACCUAAAGGUUCUACAACAAGCUCAAUGCUGUCUCCCUUUCUUCAAAUUCAGACCAAUAUUUCACAACCACACAGUAGUAGUAGGUAAGAUUCACGAGAUUGACCGCCUACCAAUUAAAGGUGUGUGAAAUGCAAAGAAACUACAAAAAGAUUACAAAUAUUGCUUCUAUAUAGUACUGCAUGUAAACAAUGACGUGUUAUAUCUUCUGCUCUUUUCAGGUCACUCUCUCUAAAGCUAUCAAAUCUUACUAAGAGAACCUUAAAAAAGAAAAGAUUAUAUAUGUGAUCGUUUCUUUUUCCAGUUGCGAUGUUUGGAGGAAGAAAGCGAGGGACUUCAUCCCAACACGGUGUUUGUCAUGUGUGCGGUUGGGUCCUGGCCUUGCCUGGCAGAGUGGAUGAUCCUCAGAGCUGCGUCUCUGUAGCGCAGGGUGAGAGUCCACAGGUCCAGAGGCUGUUGCACAACGGUGCAGUUCUCCAACAGCGGCAGGCCCACUCUGCAGUCAACAGCCUCAUGUGAUCAACAAUAUUUUCGAAACACGAGGCUUAGGAGGAGGAACGAGCUGUCCCUUAAUGACACGGGUCUGACAUUCCGGGGGGUCCAAGCAGAUAACAGCUCUAUCGCCCUGGUCAACGACUCCAAAGAAAUAGGAGUGUUAAAAUGCACUGUAAUAACAGCAGCACCAUUUAAGAUUGAAUUUAGGAACGCCAUAGAUAGUUUAACAAUUAGCGAUUGGCCAAUAGUUACUUUUAAUCAUUAACCAUUAAUUAAUCAUUACAAUUAUUAAUCUAACUCCAUGUAUGGGCUAUAGGCUGCCAGUGUACCUGAUGGGGCAACCAGAGAUCAACUACGAGCUAGGCUGUCGAAAGCUGUAUGAGAUGCACAUUCGCUCAAUGUUUCGGGUUUUGCUUGUGUUUCGGCUUUUACAUGAAAAGACUUGUUGCACUUGAGGCAACGAGGAGGGUCCGCAUCCACUUUAGGGAAAUGUAACCAUACUUCUGAAUGGGAAUUAGAAUUAAGAACCAGAAAAGAAGGUGGUGAGAGCAGUUGGUUUCACUGGAACCAAGGCAUUUGCACAUUUUAACCAAUUGAACCAAAGUUACACCAUUUGUGUGACCCUGGAUCACAUUUCUGACAAUGCGUCGAGUGUCCAGGUUUGUCUGGGGCAGCAUCGCUGUGCGUGCGUGUGAUGAUGACGCAAAGAAGCCGCUGAAGUCCUACCUGGGCUCUCCCUGAGGGCCUGCAGAACAGGGUUGGCUGGGAGGCAGGUCAGAUCCGGGAACGUCCGUACAGCCCAUGUCGUUACUGUAGGGAAUUCCUAAGUAGUAGUCGAACCCUGGGCACGCCCAAAACAGAAGACACACACACAAAGAAAUGUGAACAAACCACAUGAUCUACACACGUUCCAUCUGCUGCUGCUUUGUGGCGUCAACGACAAGACAAAAAUAUUACUUUGCCACUAGUUUUUUAUUGGAGAAGCGGUUCUCCAUCUUGAUCUUCCCCUCUAUGACGCACAUAUUAAUGAUAUGAAAUGUCACUCAUGUUCCUCUGCAUGUUAUUUUAUGGAAGUCAUGACCUCAGGCCUUUGAGAGACUGUAGAUCAAUAUUGGGGGUGUGGUUUGCUCUCUGCCCCAGCUGGUUGGCCCCCAGGUCAACCCCCACCCUGCAAUGAUCAGCUAGUAUGAUGAUGAAGCCUUUUCGUGAGUGUAGAUACACACUCUGCGUUUUUGGUUGACCCACUGGUCGACACACUCUAUGACACACAUAUUAAUGAUAUGAAAGGUCCCUCAUGUUCCUUUGCAUGAUCAUGUAUGGAAGUCAUGUGCAUAGAGCAAAACAGAGUAAAGGAGGCCAAUGGUCUAAAACUCAGUCAAUAAGCACCAGGGAUUGAUAAUGAUUUCAUUGUUUUCUCUCUUUGGUACCGCCGAAGCUAACAAAAAACCGGACAUGCCCGUAGGGCGACAUUUGAGAAACAGAGUUAGAGUUGGGAUUGAGAGAAUGACUCCCGAUUUCGUGGUCAGUGUCCUCCACUGACCUCGGCUCGUCGGAGCGUAGGGCCCGCAGUGACCCAGGUGCCAUUUCCCUAUCAUGGCCGUGUAGUAGCCGGACUCCUGCAGUAACCGUGGCAACGCCACCUCCGACAGGGGCAGGCCCGCCACCGAUCGGACGGCGAAGUUGUGUGUCACGCCGUUCCGGACGCCGUAGCGAGCGGUGAGAAUGGCGGCGCGGGACGGAGAGCAGGUGGACGCCGGCGAAUGGAAGUCUGUCAACCUGGAGGGGACAUUUUGUUUUACUGUGUUUGAUUUUUUUUUCACACAUUGUCAUCAUAAUGAUGAUUGUCAUGGAGAGCCAAUUACCGUCUAUCCUGUUGAUGAAUAUACGUUGAAAACAAUAAAGUUAUGGCACUUUG
This is a long non-coding RNA of Gadus morhua (Atlantic cod), 2680 nucleotides long. RefSeq lists it as uncharacterized. The record is from RefSeq and is a predicted model, not a curated record. The transcript is spliced from 2 exons. NCBI's taxonomy places the organism in Eukaryota, Metazoa, Chordata, Actinopteri, Gadiformes, Gadidae.